AACAUCGCGCACCUGCGGGAACCUGCGGAAGGAUCAUUAAAAAAGGGUCUUUUGACCCAUUUUUUUUUAAAAAUUCACUACCAGUUUUACUGGAAGUGGGUUUUUUUCAAAUACCAAAUUUUAAACUAUUCGUCUUUUGACGAAACCCAAAAUUAAUAAAUAAAACUUUCAACAACGGAUCU
Molecule: unclassified non-coding RNA, 182 nt
Filed under: soil metagenome
Description: partial contains 5.8S ribosomal RNA, internal transcribed spacer 2, and large subunit ribosomal RNA
Source: RNAcentral